UGGCCUCACCCAACCCAAACCCUAAUCUCCUCUCCUCUCUCUCUCUCUCCACUCCUCUCUGCUGCCGCGGAAGUCGCCACCGACGGCGUCCAACCUCCAAACAGCCCCAAAAUUUCACCAUGUAACCUCCAAAACCUCCUCUUUUCAUAUCUUCAAACUAAAUCCUUCGAAAACCCCUCAAACUCUACGAAUUUCAGAUCUAGGAAACCCUAGCAGCCACCCUUUUGCUCAAAUUCGUGAAGCUCCGGUCACCUUCGCCCCAUUACACAUACAUGAACGGAUUUAGCUCCACGAUACCUACCAUUUCCCCUUGCUCUUCACCAAAACGCCAUCCGAAUCCCGGUGACCACCGCCCGCCGCCACCACUGCCGCUGCUCACUUUUCUUUUCCUUCUUAUUUUCUUCUUCCCUUCUGCCCCUCUUGCCUAGACACAACUCAAGCGAGCUUUUCACGCUCGCACGAUACCGAGAUAGAAACUCGUUCUCCGGACCUUUAGUUUUGGUAUCUGCCAAUAUGAAAAGUUUGCUUCGUGGUCGAUUUGUCGUUGCCCGUUAUCCCCGACACAUCCUCGCUGCUCGAGUUAGCAUCGAAUCCCCUAUUUUGAUUUUUAGGUUGUCCUUUCACCUUUUGGACAGCCUUUGAACAAUGUUUAGCACACAAAGUCAGCCCUUUUGGACAGGCUUUUGGUGAACAAAAAUCUGUCCAAAAAGUGACUUUAUUUGCCUAUUUAAGGGGAUGCUCUUUCCUCACUUCAGAAACUGGAAUGACUCCAACUGAAAACACAAAAAACUUGAGAGAAAAAGAUGGCUGAACAUAUAACAACAAAGCUAAAGAACAGAGAGUUUCUUUGGAGGGAUAAACUUUGAGAGCAAAAAUCCUCUAAAAAAUUGAGAGUCUUUCAAGGUUCUUUGGUUUUCUUUUGAGAUUCUUGUCUAUUCAACUGUGGCUGGUUUAUUCCUGGGUCAUUAUCGAGGUUUCAGGUUGUUGAGUUGUUGUUCGUUCUUGCUGGGAGUGCUGUUCAUUUUUCCUUUUCAAGCAAGUUUUUUCACUGCUUCCAGUUUCUGCAUUUAGGUACUCUUCUUAUUUUUCUUUCUUAAUGUAAUUUGAUUUGGCUUGGAAUGAAGGCAUGAAGGUGUUGAUGUGCUAUAACUGUGUCAUUACGUUGUGUGAUUUCUGCCCACAAGAGGAGUGAAUAAAUGUUUAACUUCACGGGCUAGAGUUCCACUCGUUAUUUUAGAUUAUCGAACUGUCGUGAUCCAUUCUUAGUGGUUAUAAUACAUGAAUGAUUUGAGUUAUUGUAGUAUGUGACGAAAGAAGUAGAAAAAUAUAGUUUUAAGUUCAUACCUGUCAAUUUUUAGUGUAGUUGCAACAGUCCCUAUUAAGAAAAAGAAUUAGUUUUACUUCACUAAAAGUUCUUGUAAUAAUCUGUCACAUUGAAGUUUACUUAAAUAUUUCCUUCACGUAUUGUCAUUGUCCUUUGCUGAGAUUCAUAGCUACAUGAUUUCAUGGAAGUUGGUGAUACAUUCUAAUACAAUCCUUGUUUAGCUUUUUUCUA
Molecule: long non-coding RNA, 1555 nt
Organism: Nicotiana tabacum (common tobacco)
Lineage: Eukaryota; Viridiplantae; Streptophyta; Magnoliopsida; Solanales; Solanaceae
Source: RefSeq, a predicted model, not a curated record